UUGCAGAACUCACUCUCAUAAAAAAAUUUCUUCUCGAAAGUGGAGACCUUUCAAUUAUUUUUCUCUGUCAUGAAAAUUUGAUUAUAAAUAGAAGGAGUGUGUGGGAGAAGGAUCAGUAAUAGAUCUCAUCCAAAGCCAGUGAAGGUGAAUGUUAUGCUGCUAAAAAGUUGUGGUGGUUUAGUUACAAUGUUGCUUCUUCUAAGUCAAUGUUAUGCUGAGUGAUUCAUCACACUUCAUAGCUUCAAACAUGGAUCGCUCAGAGGAAACAACACUUGUACCUAAACCACUUAACUUCACUCUUGUUGCUUUCUUCGUCUGUCUUCUAUGAAGUCUCAGUACCCUAAUUCAGUUUCGAUUCUUCCGAACAAGAGAGCCUUAAUGCUUUUGAAUUAUGUUUCGGGUGUAGGGGUCAAGCACAUGCAGUCAACACUUAAAUUACCUUUUUCUCUUCACUGCUUCCUUCUUAUGUAAUUCGUCGUAUCCUCCGUUCCGCCCAAUCUUCCUUCUUCCUUGAUCGGUCAGGCGGAUGAUCGGUGUACAUGUUUAAAAGGCUCUGCUCCGAUGCUUAAGUCAGUUAAGGCCGAUCGGUAGAUAAUUGUACCUGAUGUAAUAAAUGCGAACUAAAGAUUCUCACCCACCUACCUUGGGCUCCUAUUUAUAGUUUUCGAUGUGGGUCUGUGAUUAGGACUCCUUAAUCAUGGCCCAAUGGCUUUUUAAUUUUGAUUACUGACUUAUUUUAUCUUAAUUAAUUUGACUGACUGUCUGGUCCAGGUUCCCGUUUGGCCGACCAACCGAGGGUCGCACGGCCUGACGAAAGUUGCCCUUUAAAGGUGAGAGUCUCUAUGAAGAUGGAGACUAAGUUCAAAUGGAGAUGAAAGUGGAGGGAAUGUUUAGUCCGUCUGACCGAUGGGUAGCGGAUUUAGUGUGCUCAGAGCUGAGACUCCGAUAAGCUGGUCGCCUCAGCGUCUGCUACGAAGUUCGUCCGUAACGGGCAGUCUGUAGCCGUUUGACUUUGGUCCGCUGGGCCGAUCUGCCAAUGGACCGUACAGUACAAAUUCAUUGUAUUAAUUCCAUUAAUUUGCCUAAAUUUAUUUUAGGUAGAUUACUAAAUAUAUUAGAAGUUUUACAUCGACUAGAGAUAAAACAAUUUAUAAUGUAUAAGUGAGAUACAAAUCUUACCUUACAAAAUGAUUUUGUGAGAUUGAGUUAGACUUAAAGUCCACUUUUUAAUAAAAUAUAUCAUUUUGAACAAAUUGAAAUUGAGUUUAUAUUUUGUUUUAUUUAAACUAAGUAAAAAGUGGUCUUAUAGGUGAAGAAGAAGUGGAGAUUUGACAGCUUUUGGAAGGAAAAGAAGAUAAAGAAAAUUUAUUGAUAUAUCUCCCAGUAAAAUUAUGAUUUAUAUUCGAUUUAUCAUUGGAUCUGGCCAUGGCCGAAAAUUUGAUAGUAGUUUUAUAAUAUAUUAUUUUUCAUUUUAA
Long non-coding RNA from Vigna unguiculata (cowpea), 1475 nucleotides. RefSeq lists it as uncharacterized. NCBI's taxonomy places the organism in Eukaryota, Viridiplantae, Streptophyta, Magnoliopsida, Fabales, Fabaceae. The record is from RefSeq and is a predicted model, not a curated record.